Molecule: ribosomal RNA, 857 nt
Filed under: Acinetobacter baumannii
Lineage: Bacteria; Pseudomonadati; Pseudomonadota; Gammaproteobacteria; Moraxellales; Moraxellaceae
Description: bacterial LSU rRNA
Rfam family: Bacterial large subunit ribosomal RNA
Source: RNAcentral
GUUGUAUAGUCAAGUAAUUAAGUGCAUGUGGUGGAUGCCUUGGCAGUCAGAGGCGAUGAAAGACGUGAUAGCCUGCGAAAAGCUCCGGGGAGGCGGCAAAUAUCCUUUGAUCCGGAGAUGUCUGAAUGGGGGAACCCACCUACUUUAAGGUAGGUAUUGCAACAUGAAUACAUAGUGUUGCAAGGCGAACGAGGGGAAGUGAAACAUCUCAGUACCCUUAGGAAAAGAAAUCAAUUGAGAUUCCCUCAGUAGCGGCGAGCGAACGGGGAUCAGCCCAUUAAGUUAUGUGUGUUUUAGUGGAACGCUCUGGGAAGUGCGAACGUAGAGGGUGAUAUUCCCGUACACGAAAGGGCACACAUAAUGAUGACGAGUAGGGCGAGGCACGUGAAACCUUGUCUGAAUAUGGGGGGACCAUCCUCCAAGGCUAAAUACUCCUGACUGACCGAUAGUGAACCAGUACCGUGAGGGAAAGGCGAAAAGAACCCCUGUGAGGGGAGUGAAAUAGAUCCUGAAACCGCAUGCAUACAAGCAGUGGGAGCACCUUCGUGGUGUGACUGCGUACCUUUUGUAUAAUGGGUCAGCGACUUAUAUUCAGUAGCAAGGUUAACCGUAUAGGGGAGCCGUAGAGAAAUCGAGUCUUAAUAGGGCGUUUAGUUGCUGGGUAUAGACCCGAAACCAGGCGAUCUAUCCAUGAGCAGGUUGAAGGUUGGGUAACACUAACUGGAGGACCGAACCCACUGUCGUUGAAAAGCCAGGGGAUGACUUGUGGAUAGGGGUGAAAGGCUAAUCAAGCCUGGUGAUAGCUGGUUCUCCCCGAAAGCUAUUUAGGUAGCGCCUCGGACGAAUACCAUAGGGGG